UUUCCGUAGGUGAACCUGCGGAAGGAUCAUUAUUGAAUACGUUUGGUUCUGAUGCUGGCUCUACACUGAGCAUGUGCUCGACCCAUAACUAUUUAUCUUCUCUUGUGCACCUUUUGUAGUCUUUCAGAGCAAGUGAUAACUCUCGCAGCAAUGCGGUUUGGGGGACUUGGGCGUGAGCCCUUCCCCUGCGUUUGCUUCUUUGGAGGGCUAUGUUUUCAUAUACACUAUAAAGUUACAGAAUGUCUUUUAAAGAUUGUGCUAGUCGCAGUCAUUAAACCUAUACAACUUUCAGCAACGGAUCUCUUGGCUCUC
RNAcentral lists this unclassified non-coding RNA (312 nucleotides) under plant metagenome. Its description in RNAcentral is "partial contains small subunit ribosomal RNA, internal transcribed spacer 1, and 5.8S ribosomal RNA". The record is from RNAcentral.